This 460-nucleotide ribosomal RNA is filed under the name uncultured archaeon. RNAcentral's name for it is "bacterial SSU rRNA". It matches the Rfam family "Archaeal small subunit ribosomal RNA", at positions 1 to 450 of the family's 1478-position model. The record is from RNAcentral.
GCAGAUUCGCCUUCUGGUGAUCCUGCCGGCGCCCACCGCUAUUGGAAUUCGAUUAAGACAUUUUGAUGUCUGGGUAGCCAAGGCUCGGCGGACCGCUCAGUCACUCGCGGGUAACAUGCCCUUGGGUGGGGGAUAACCUCGGGAAACUGAGAAUACCACCCAGUGAGAUCUAGAAAGCUGGAAUGCUUUUAGAUCGAAAACUCCGGUGCCCAAGGAUUGGUCUGCGGCGUAUCAGGUUGUAGUGGGUGUAACGGACCCCCUAGCCUAUGACGCGUAAGGGCCUUGAGAGAGGGAGCCCUGAGAUGGACUCUGAGACAUGAGUCCAGGCCCUACGGGGCGCAGCAGUCGCGAAAAACUUCACAAUGGGGGAAACCCCGAUUUAUGUAAAUUCCAAGUGCCAGCACAUUUGUGUUGCCUGUUCUCUGGUCUAAAAAAACCGGAGAAGUAAGGCCCGGGUAAG